UGGUGUGUUUUCUUCCUCGCAACUUUCUCUCUGCUCCAAAGCAGGACAGGGUGGCCAGACCAGGGGUCCCGAAAAGGACUCUUCCCCGCGUCAAAACCAGUGCCCGCUCGGCCCGCUACAAGUUCCCCGAGGAGACCCGAGAGUGGGGUGCCAGCCUCUGUGGGCGCAGGGCAAGGGCAGGGGCGCGUCCGCGUGGUCCUCGUCUGGUCCCGACGGCAAGCCUGGAGAGGACCACGCCUCGUGCGGGGCUGCAUGCACGCUUAAGGAGGUUGUGCGUGAAGGCUGUGUGAGGCACGCAGUUGUAUGACUUAGAGCAAGACAACUAAUAUCUCUCUGGUCAUCACAUUCAUCAUCUGUGAAAUAGCAAUCAUGAUGAUGAUCUAAGGUGAUGUGAGGAUGACGUAGAAUACGGUAGGGAAACUGAGCUUUAUCAAGGUGAACACUGGCCCCAAGCCACAUACUAGGAAGUUGCAGAGUGGAACCAGGACUAUUGCCCUGCAAAGCCCGUGCUCUUACCUGAGA
Long non-coding RNA from Eptesicus fuscus (big brown bat), 522 nucleotides. RefSeq lists it as uncharacterized. Lineage: Eukaryota; Metazoa; Chordata; Mammalia; Chiroptera; Vespertilionidae. The record is from RefSeq and is a predicted model, not a curated record. The transcript has 3 exons.